Molecule: long non-coding RNA, 1242 nt
Filed under: Numida meleagris (helmeted guineafowl)
Lineage: Eukaryota; Metazoa; Chordata; Aves; Galliformes; Numididae
Description: lncRNA (ENSNMEG00000005819.1)
Source: RNAcentral
CCUGCUACAGUGCUUUUAUCCCUGCUUGGAGAUGCAUCAUAUUAGAAGCAGAAGAUCCCCCAGAAGGGUACAGUUGGUGGCAGUGCAAGAAAAACAGAAGGCCUGGCAGCAGAGCAACACGCAGCUGGGAGAGCGUCUGUGCUUUAAACUGUGCUGUGGGGCUGAGGUGUGGGGAGGGGAGAGAGAGCAGAAUGUGAGGUAGAAGCUGUAGCUCCUGGCUUAAACCUCACAUGACAUCAGGAAUUAUCCUUAAUUAACGUCUUAAAUGUCUCUUAACAGGUUUAGUUAAUUUAGUUCUAUUUUGCCUAUUUUGACAGGGUCAGUAGGAACUGAUUUUUUCUAGAGGCUGCCAGAGAUGUCAUUGGGCUCAGAUGCUUGGAGAAGACUUGAGGCCACAUGCUGAAAAGCCAGCCUUGUGUCCUGCCCUACCCUGUGCCGCCUUCUGUUGUUCUCCCAACUGGCCCUCUAAACUGUUAGGUCAUACCCCUCUCUGAAGUAUACGUAACUCUCAGCAAGACAUGGCUGGGUGUUUGGGCUGCUCUGAUCCCUUUAUUCCUUUUGAUGCUUCUUCUAAAGUGACAUUUCUAUUUAUGAAAAUAACCUGAGCUGUUUACUUUUUAUCUUAAACUAAUCUGUGUCUGGUAGGUUACUCUGGGAGGGGCCUUACGUGGCCAUACAGGCUCUUGUUUCCCCAAGGAUUGCCUGACUGAAUGCAGCUCUGGAGAAAGCCUGUAUCCUUCUCUAACAGCAGGGAUUAUGGUCACUCGUGUCAUGAUAUAUACAGUACUCUUAAGGUUACAUGUACUACGCUUCAGCCAAAACAGAGCAGAAGUGAAACUCCAGCCUGGACAAGACAGUUUUGCUUCCUCUGCGUGAUGGACACAAAUGCUUUCAGAUCUGCUGAUUUGGUAGAAGUGAACUUGGAUCAUCCAGGACCAUGUUAUUGGGGCUCCACCUUACGGCAGAUGAGAGCAGAAUGGCAGUGGCAUUAUAACUUCUCCAGGUUAGAAACUAGGGAGAAGAAAUUUGAUAUGAUACGAUAUUUUGCUUUGGGCCAAAAAAGAAUGCAUUCUCCAAACAGAGAAUGCAUUUUUUCAUAGUGCCUCAAGAUCUAUGCAAAAUAAGAGUAUUUCUAGUAGUUCUAUUUUUACAGCGUCUUACAUAAUAAUGAUUUAUUUGGCAUGAACAUAACUGUGCAGACAAUUAAAAAACAUCUCUUUUUCAAGUAAUUUGUAAUCUCUG